UACGUAGGGGCCUAGCGUUGUCCGGAUUUAUUGGGCGUAAAGAGCUCGUAGGCGGUUCGGUAAGUCGGAUGUGAAAUCUCCACGCUCAACGUGGAGGGGCCAUUCGAUACUGCCGUGACUCGAGUCCGGUAGGGGAGUGUGGAAUUCCUGGUGUAGCGGUGAAAUGCGCAGAUAUCAGGAGGAACACCGGUGGCGAAGGCGCCACUCUGGGCCGAAACUGACGCUGAGGAGCGAAAGCGUGGGUAGCAAACAGG
This 254-nucleotide ribosomal RNA is filed under the name uncultured bacterium. RNAcentral describes it as "partial 16S ribosomal RNA". It matches the Rfam family "Bacterial small subunit ribosomal RNA", at positions 524 to 776 of the family's 1533-position model. The record is from RNAcentral.